RNAcentral lists this transfer RNA (76 nucleotides) under Candidatus Hydrogenedentota bacterium. Its description in RNAcentral is "Candidatus Hydrogenedentes bacterium (hot springs metagenome) tRNA-Ala". It matches the Rfam family "tRNA". From Rfam's summary of the family: Transfer RNA (tRNA) molecules are approximately 80 nucleotides in length. Their secondary structure includes four short double-helical elements and three loops (D, anti-codon, and T loops). Further hydrogen bonds mediate the characteristic L-shaped molecular structure. tRNAs have two regions of fundamental functional importance: the anti-codon, which is responsible for specific mRNA codon recognition, and the 3' end, to which the tRNAs corresponding amino acid is attached (by aminoacyl-tRNA synthetases). tRNAs cope with the degeneracy of the genetic code in two manners: having more than one tRNA (with a specific anti-codon) for a particular amino acid; and 'wobble' base-pairing, i.e. permitting non-standard base-pairing at the 3rd anti-codon position. The record is from RNAcentral. Lineage: Bacteria; Pseudomonadati; Candidatus Hydrogenedentota.
GGGCCUGUAGCUCAGUUGGGAGAGCGCCGCGUUCGCAAUGCGGAUGUCAGGGGUUCGAAUCCCCUCAGGUCCACCA